AGAGCUUGGAAUCCGUCUCUUCUCUAAUGCGUUCUCCACCUCGGGAGCCCCUGGUGAUUCCGUGACGGCCUCUGUUGCCCUGUGAUCUGCAGGUCCGGAGAGACGCACAGCUAAGAUGUCAGGACAUCCUGGAAGCUGGGAAAGGGUCUUGCCAUCUCUAAGCUGGACCUGGUGACCUUUCUGGAGGGAAAGAAAGAGCCCUGGACUGUGAAGAGUGAGGAGGCCAUAGCUGCACAGCCAGUCCAGAUGUAUAAUCUCAUCCCUGAACAUUUCUGAUGGUGUGAUUAUGACAUGUGACUUUAUCCGGCAACAGAGUGAGUUGAUGCUCCCGCCUGAGCCCAGCCCACAGAAAGGAUUGUGACAUAUCGUUGGACCCAGAAUUGAGACAGAGUUUCGCUCUUGUUGCCCAGGCUGGAGUGCAAUACCACGAUCUUGGCUCAGCUGGGAUUACAGGUGCGGUUUUGGCACACUUCUGCCCAGCAGCUGAGUAUUGUGAUUCUUCAGAAUUGGCCCAGCCUACAAAUAGGAUUGUGCCACACUGCUGGACCCAGCACCUAGAUGAUGUAACUAUUCUCCUGCCUUGGUGCUACUCAAAAAAGACAUUAACAUAUCUCAGAGCCUUGCAUCCAGAAGGCAUUGAGACAUACGGCUGGGCUCAGCACUAAGAAGAUGUGAGUCCUCUGCCUGAAGCCUGACCACAGGGAGCACUGUGACAUAUUUCUUGACCCAUUACAAUCUCUCCUAUGGGCAAAACUGAGGUGGAAUUGUGACAUAUAACUUGGCCAAGCACACAGAUGUAAUGGUGUGGUGACUCUCAUACCUAGAACUGGGACCUGUGCGGGAUUGUUAAUUCAUUACUGGACAUUCCUGUGGGUGUGAUUGUUACAUAUGCCUAUGUUCAGCACCCGAGUGAUUUGAUUUUGCUGCCUGGUCUCAGUCCAAAGGCUCUGCAUAUUUGGGUAUUGUGACAUAUUGCAGAACUCAACACCUAAGGGAUGGGAGUCUCCUACCUAGGCCCUUCCUACAGGGGGCAUUGUGACAUGUCUCUGCAUUCCUCAUCCAGGAGAUAUGACUCUCCUUUUCUGCCUACACCCUGCCUACACAGAAAGUUGUGGCAUAUUGCUGUGGUCAGCGACCAGAUGAUAUGUUUCUCCUGCCUGGGUCUUUAUUACAGGAAAGAUGGUUGACAUAUUACUGGGCCCAGCAUCCAGAUGAUGUGACUCUCUUCUUCUGUUGGUCCCUGCUUACAGGGAAACUGUAGCAUAUUGCUACACCCAGCACCUAGCUUGUGUGAUUCUUCUUUUAGGUUUGCCUUCAGGGAACAUUGUG
This 1329-nucleotide long non-coding RNA is filed under the name Pongo abelii (Sumatran orangutan). RNAcentral's name for it is "lncRNA (ENSPPYG00000032108.1)". The record is from RNAcentral. Lineage: Eukaryota; Metazoa; Chordata; Mammalia; Primates; Hominidae.